UAAGGAAUAUUGCUCAAUGGGAGAAAUCCUGAAGCAGCAACGCCGCGUGGAGGAUGAAGGGUCUAUGACUUGUAAACUCCUGUAAAGAAGGAAAAAAUUCCCAUUAGAUGGGAGAUGAUGGUACUUCUGGAGUAAGCCCCGGCUAACUACGUGCCAGCAGCCGCGGUAAUACGUAGGGGGCAAGCGUUGUCCGGAUUUACUGGGUGUAAAGGGUGCUCAGGCGGAUUUGUAAGUCAGAGGUGAAAUCUUACAGCUUAACUGUGAAACUGCCGUUGAUACUGCAAGCCUAGAGUAUGGAAGAGAGUGAUGGAAUAUCUGGUGUAGCAGUGAAAUGCGUAGAUAUCAGAUAGAACACCAAUGGCGAAGGCAGUCACUUGGUCCAUUACUGACGCUAAAGCACGAAAGCGUGGGUAGCAAAC
Molecule: ribosomal RNA, 419 nt
Filed under: uncultured bacterium
Lineage: Bacteria
Description: bacterial SSU rRNA
Rfam family: Bacterial small subunit ribosomal RNA
Source: RNAcentral